UUCUUGAUUCAUAUAUAUCAACCUGAAAAAUAAAAUAAAAUUCAUGCUCAAAUCACUGAAAUGGACCAACUUCCAAAAUGGAACAACUUACAGAAAUAAUUAACAAUGUUUGCUCUUGAGAAAUGAGAAAUGCUGAAAGAUGUUUAUCGUAUGUAGUUUGAUAGAUUUGUGAUUUAAACCCACGUUUCUUUUGGAUAUAAAUAAGAGAAAAAAAAAAUACAAGAUUAGAAAGAAAAAAAUUGCAGAAAACAACUAUAUAAGAGAUCACUGAUAUAUUAAAAAGACCCUAGAAGUAAGAUGAACAACACCUCAUGACCUUGAUCCAAUAG
This 329-nucleotide unclassified non-coding RNA is filed under the name Hevea brasiliensis (rubber tree). Lineage: Eukaryota; Viridiplantae; Streptophyta; Magnoliopsida; Malpighiales; Euphorbiaceae. The record is from RNAcentral.